GACGAACGCUGGCGGCGUGCUUAACACAUGCAAGUCGAACGGAAAGGCCCUGCUUUUGUGGGGUGCUCGAGUGGCGAACGGGUGAGUAACAAGUGAGUAACCUGCCCUUGACUUUGGGAUAACUUCAGGAAGCUGGGGCUAAUACCGGAUAGGAGCUCCUGCUGCAUGGUGGGGGUUGGAAAGUUUCGGCGGUUGGGGAUGGACUCGCGGCUUAUCAGCUUGUUGGUGGGGUAGUGGCUUACCAAGGCUUUGACGGGUAGCCGGCCUGAGAGGGUGACCGGCCACAUUGGGACUGAGGGACGGCCCAGACUCCUACGGGAGGCAGCAGUGGGGAAUAUUGCACAAUGGGCGGAAGCCUGAUGCAGCAACGCCGCGUGCGGGAUGACGGCCUUCGGGGUGUAAACCGCUUUCGCCUGUGACGAAGCGUGAGUGACGGUAAUGAGUAAAGAAGCACCGGCUAACUACGUG
RNAcentral lists this ribosomal RNA (468 nucleotides) under uncultured bacterium. RNAcentral describes it as "partial 16S ribosomal RNA". It matches the Rfam family "Bacterial small subunit ribosomal RNA", at positions 28 to 507 of the family's 1533-position model. The record is from RNAcentral.